AACGAACGCUGGCGGCAUGCCUAACACAUGCAAGUCGAACGAGACCUUCGGGUCUAGUGGCGCACGGGUGCGUAACGCGUGGGAACCUGCCCUUAGGUUCGGAAUAACUCCCCGAAAGGGGUGCUAAUACCGGAUAAUGUCUUCGGACCAAAGAUUUAUCGCCUUUGGAUGGGCCCGCGUUGGAUUAGCUAGUUGGUAGGGUAAAAGCCUACCAAGGCGACGAUCCAUAGCUGGUCUGAGAGGAUGAUCAGCCACACUGGGACUGAGACACGGCCCAGACUCCUACGGGAGGCAGCAGUGGGGAAAAUUGGACAAUGGGCGAAAGCCUGAUCCCGCAAUGCCGCGGGAGGGAUGAAGGCCUUAGGGUUGUAAAGCUCUUUUACCCGGGAUGAUAAUGGCAGGACCGGGAGAAUAAGCCCCGGCUAACUCCGU
RNAcentral lists this ribosomal RNA (432 nucleotides) under uncultured bacterium. RNAcentral describes it as "partial 16S ribosomal RNA". It matches the Rfam family "Bacterial small subunit ribosomal RNA", at positions 29 to 506 of the family's 1533-position model. The record is from RNAcentral.